ACUCAAAGGAAUUGACGGGGGCCCGCACAAGCGGUGGAGCAUGUGGUUUAAUUCGAUGCAACGCGAAGAACCUUACCUAGGCUUGACAUGCGCCGGACAGGUGUGGAAACACACCCUCCCUUCGGGGCCGGCGUACAGGUGCUGCAUGGCUGUCGUCAGCUCGUGUCGUGAGAUGUUGGGUUAAGUCCCGCAACGAGCGCAACCCUUGUCCCUAGUUGCUAACAAGUCAAGUUGAGCACUCUAGGGAGACUGCCGUCGAUAGGACGGAGGAAGGUGGGGAUGACGUCAAGUCCUCAUGGUCCUUACGCCUAGGGCUACACACGUGCUACAAUGGCCGGUACAAAGGGUUGCAAGACCGCGAGGUGGAGCCAAUCCCAAAAAGCCGGUCUCAGUUCGGAUUGCAGUCUGCAACUCGACUGCAUGAAGUCGGAAUCGCUAGUAAUCGCUGAUCAGCAGGCAGCGGUGAAUAUGUUCCCGGGCCUUGUACACACCGCCCGU
RNAcentral lists this ribosomal RNA (498 nucleotides) under uncultured bacterium. RNAcentral describes it as "partial 16S ribosomal RNA". It matches the Rfam family "Bacterial small subunit ribosomal RNA", at positions 899 to 1397 of the family's 1533-position model. The record is from RNAcentral.